RNAcentral lists this transfer RNA (72 nucleotides) under Bos taurus (domestic cattle). It matches the Rfam family "tRNA". Rfam says of the family: Transfer RNA (tRNA) molecules are approximately 80 nucleotides in length. Lineage: Eukaryota; Metazoa; Chordata; Mammalia; Artiodactyla; Bovidae. The record is from Rfam by way of RNAcentral. RNAcentral also lists the same sequence under 5 other names.
UCCCUGGUGGCUCAGAUGGUAAAGAAUCUGCCUACAAUGUAGGAGACCCAGGUUUGACCCCUGGCUUGGAAA